GUUAAGUGACUAAGCGUAUACGGUGGAUGCCUUGGCAGUUAGAGGCGAUGAAGGACGUGUAAGUCUGCGAAAAGCUGUGGUGAGCCGACAAAAUGCAUUUGAGCCACAGAUGUCCGAAUGGGGAAACCCACCUAUUUAUAGGUAUCGUUGUAUGAAUAUAUAGUACAACGAGGCGAACGAGGGGAACUGAAACAUCUAAGUACCCUUAGGAAAAGAAAUCAACCGAGAUUCCCCUAGUAGCGGCGAGCGAACGGGGAUUAGCCCU
RNAcentral lists this ribosomal RNA (265 nucleotides) under Ochromonas sp. CCMP1393. RNAcentral describes it as "partial Bacterial large subunit ribosomal RNA". It matches the Rfam family "Bacterial large subunit ribosomal RNA", at positions 1 to 271 of the family's 2925-position model. Lineage: Eukaryota; Chrysophyceae; Chromulinales; Chromulinaceae. The record is from RNAcentral.